UUUUGCUAAAAAGCUUCAGUUUGACAGCGAUCCACUCCUCGAGCUUGUGGCGAUUGAGGGACUGUGGGGGGUUAGCUGUCAUGUUGCUGAAGGCUGCGUGGCUUCUCGGGGUGGACUGGACAGUCAAGAUAUUCUGCUCCAAUAGUGCCUUCACAACCUUUUUGACAUCCUCGUCAUCAGACUUUCUUGAGUCACACGGAAUGUUACGACCCUUGCCUCCGUGAGAGCUCUCCCAAGUCAGCUGAUGUACUAGGUCCGGUGAGAGGGUCGCCAGCUGGAUCUGAAUUCGUAAAGCCUCCAGUGCAUACUUUGAUCUCCUACCAGCAUGGAAAUGGACCUUCCAGCAUCGCGGUAAACUCCAUGGCCAGAGAUGCUGUGUGGCACAAGACUCGGGCAUAAUUGUACACUCGAUCCUGACAGUCUGGAAGAGGAAGACCCAAUACUGCCUCCGACACAACAGUAAACUUCUCAACAAUAUUUGUCGCUACAUCACACAAGUUGGAGGUUGUGAAAGGGAAGUCACCAUCAGGGUUGUCGAUCCCUAGUUCAACACAGGCUGCUGCAACAAGAUGACCCUUGAAUACUGUCAUUAGAGCAUCAAAGGCGGCGUGCAUAUCCUUCUUGGGGUCCUUGGCAUAUGAGAGACGUCCGAUUCGGAGGAACAGGUGACUUAAGGUGCCAAAAUUCGAGGAGCUGACCUUGAAGAGAUUCUUCCACACACUCUGUUUUGGAACACAACGGCAUGCCAGUCCUCUGUCACUGGCUCAAGUAGCUCGAGUUUCUGCCUGGGUGUGUCUCCAUCAGCCAUGUGCCUGCGUCCCGAGGGCACUGUGUGCGCCAUAUACCAAUAUAUUCCACUUAAUGCACAUCUUCAUAUGUAC
Long non-coding RNA from Halichondria panicea, 881 nucleotides. RefSeq lists it as uncharacterized. The record is from RefSeq and is a predicted model, not a curated record. NCBI's taxonomy places the organism in Eukaryota, Metazoa, Porifera, Demospongiae, Suberitida, Halichondriidae. The transcript is spliced from 3 exons.